AAAUGAAUUGACGGGGACCCGCACAAGCGGUGGAGCAUGUGGUUUAAUUCGACAAUAAACGGAGAACCUUACCAAGGCUUGACAUUUGCAGAAUCCUUUGGAAACAGAGGAGUGCUCGCAAGAGAGCUGUAAAACAGGUGCUGCAUGGUUGUCGUCAGCUCGUGCUGUGAAGUGUAUGGUUAAGUCCAAUAACGAGCGCAACCCCUAUUGUAAGUUACUAUGUCUUACGAAACUGACCACUUCAAGUGGUAGGAAGGUGGGGAUGACGUCAAAUCAGCACGGCCCUUACGCCUUGGGCCACACACGUGCUACAAUGGGUAAGAACAAAGGGUAGCUAAGUCGCAAGAUGGAGCUAAUCCCAGCAAAAUUACCCUCAGUUCAGAUUGAGGUCUGCAACUCGACCUCAUGAAGUCGGAAUCGCUAGUAAUCGUGGGUCAGCACACCACGGUGAAUACGUUCUCGGGUCUUGUACACACCGCCCGU
RNAcentral lists this ribosomal RNA (483 nucleotides) under uncultured bacterium. RNAcentral describes it as "bacterial SSU rRNA". It matches the Rfam family "Bacterial small subunit ribosomal RNA", at positions 903 to 1397 of the family's 1533-position model. The record is from RNAcentral.